GAUCUUGGUCAGAACGAACGCUGGCGGCGCGUUUAAGCAUGCAAGUCGAGCGGCAAGGGCCUUCGGGCCCCUAGAGCGGCGGACGGGUGAGUAACACGUGGACAAUCUGCCCCCCGGCCCGGGAUAGCCCAGGGAAACCUGGAUUAAUACCGGAUGAGACGGGACCCGCGAUGGCGGGAUCCGGGAAAGGCGCUGCGGCGCCGCCGGGGGAUGAGUCUGCGUCCCAUUAGCUAGACGGCGGGGUAACGGCCCACCGUGGCGACGAUGGGUAGCCGGCCUGAGAGGGUGGACGGCCACAUUGGAACUGAGACACGGUCCAGACUCCUACGGGAGGCAGCAGCUAAGAAUCUUCCGCAAUGGGCGAGAGCCUGACGGAGCCGACGCCGCGUGAACGAAGAAGGCCGUGAGGUUGUAAAGUUCUUUUCGGGAGGGGGAACAACCGUGGCAGGGAAUGGCCGCGGGAUGACGUGAAUCCCGGAAUAAGCCCCGGCUAACUACGUGCCAGCCGCCGC
This 512-nucleotide ribosomal RNA is filed under the name uncultured bacterium. Its description in RNAcentral is "bacterial SSU rRNA". It matches the Rfam family "Bacterial small subunit ribosomal RNA", at positions 15 to 518 of the family's 1533-position model. The record is from RNAcentral.